Molecule: long non-coding RNA, 546 nt
Organism: Oncorhynchus tshawytscha (Chinook salmon)
Lineage: Eukaryota; Metazoa; Chordata; Actinopteri; Salmoniformes; Salmonidae
Source: Ensembl
GCCAAAAGGAGAGAGAGGAGAGAGGAUGACCGAAGAAGAGAGAGGAGGAGAGGAUGCCAGAAGGAGAGGAGGAGAGAGGAUGCCAAAAGGAGAGAGAGGAGAGAGGCUGCCAGAUGGAGUGAGAGGAGAGAGGAUGCCAGAAGGAGUUGAGGAGAGAGGAUGCCAGAAAGAGAGAGAAGGAGAGAGGAUGCCAAAAGGAGAGAGAGGAGAGAGGAUGCCAGACGGAGAGAGAGGAGAGAGGAUGCCAGAAGGAGAGGAGGAGAGAGGAUGCCAGAAGGAGAGGAGGAGAGAGGAUGCCAGAAGGAGAGAGGAGAGAGGAUGCCAGAAGGAGAGAGGAGGAGAGGAUGCCAGAAGGAGAGAGGAUGCCAGAAGGAGAGAGGAGAAGAGAGAGGAUGCCAGAAGGAGAGAGAAGAGAGGAUGCCAGAAGGAGAGAGGAGAAAGGAUGCCAGAAGCAGAGAGGAGAGGAGAGAGGAUGCCAGAAGGAGAGAGGAGAGAGGAUGCCAGAAGGAGAGAGGAGAGGAGAGGAUGCCAGAAGGAGACAGGGGG